AGUAUUAUGGUAAUACACUCGAACUCCACUCAGCGCGGACCUGGCAGGGAGCUACAACGGUAUUACGGGCGUGGUGCUCUUUUCUUCUCCGCCCAGUAGAGCGAUUACGGUGGAAAAAGAACUUCGCAGGAAUAAGGGCGUGUCUGUCAAGGAAUUGUUACGUUGCUGAAAUACAAUCUCUUCGAUGACUUCCUUAUCACAAGAUCGUAUUACUUGGGUUGUUUUUGCAUUUGUAAUAAUCUAUCUACAGGUUGAAAGGGCGCGUCUAACAUGUGUAUGAAAUUGGCGCUGAUGCUCUCCUGCACAGAGGUAUUAUCUGAUCUAGCACCUGCUCUCCGUGUUGAUCUAUGAACUUCGCUGUCUUCUGAAAACGUUACUUAUUGUAACUUGGGUCACAUUUUUCUUUCGAGUGUCGCAAAUUCGUGCUUACCUGGACGUCUCCAAGGAAACUGUAUAACUAGGAUUAGGGAUUAGUCGGUGCCAGCAUUCUGAGUAUUACAGCCUCAGACUUCUCAAAGAAGAAGUAUUAGAGCAGAAUCAAAGACAUAAACGGAAAAUAGCCUAUUGACUGAAACUUGGUAAGUUUGUAAUAGAUUUCACCGAUUCUGGUAUUUCGGGCAAUGCUAUAUCCGGGCAGUGCAAAUGUCUUUUUAAAAUCGAACCAAUAGCAGUGCUCAUUGAUACUUGCCGGAUGUACAACAUAAUUCAUGGUAAUAAAGUCAUUGCCUAGUGACAAGGAAACGGGGAAAUAGCCUGAUUAAAAGCACCUCUCAAAAUUAUUCAAGUCAUUCGUCGAAUCAUCGCAAAUCGGAGCUCAAGGUGUUUUCAAGGUAGAACAAUACUCCUGCCGCCUAUUUGAAGUUUUCCAGAAAACGCGUUAAUCAUUUUCUCCAAAGUUGCCCGAACUGCCAGGUAUUCAAGGAAAGAACUUCAAAGGCUUUGUGAAAGUGUGUUCUUCAACAUCGUCCGAUUUUAAAAAGAGGGGUCCAAUAUUGUUACUGAAGUGCACGUGGAAGGUAUUACGUGGUACGCAGUACAGAAAUAGCUUAGAUCAAAGAGACGUUCGGAUAUUCUCGUCAUCAAGUAUUCUCGAGAAAACCAUAUCAAACUGGAGAGCGGCUAAAUUUAACUCCAUGGUGGGUAAAUGAAAAGAACACUUAGCCCACACCUUACUAUUUGGGCUAGCAGGAAUUUGGCCAGGAUUACUAGAAAGGUAGAUAUAUUGGGAAUUUAAGUUCUGCUGAAGGUGUGCCUCCGGGAGCAGCAGGUAUUUGUCGAUCGUUGGUAUAUCUUAUACUACGCCAGAUGCAAUAGAUUUUGGAGUGGAAAUCGUCUGUUGCGCCUAUUACCCGAGGCAGAAGUCGACACCCCGUUAAAGUCUUCUGAGACAAUACUUCAAGAGUAAUUCAGAAGUUUAUUUCCCAGAAGGAUGGAGAAGUUUGCUAUGCUCGCCUUCUUAUUUGGACUAUAUUUCAAGUGCUUUGGCUUACAGGAUAAACACAGAAACGACGUUAAACAGAGAAGAUGACCUGGCCAAGCAAGUGGGUGUCUCCAGGUUAAAACAGCUUAUCCAUAUUUUAGAGUCUAUAGAAGCAAUGAACGAGUUACAGAACACAGUACGAGUCACGUCGCGUCAAACCAGGACGGACAUAGUGGAGAAGUCGAUAGGAGGAGGUUACAAGCGUGGGUAUGGCGACUCGGCAGUACUUCCGCCAUGGAACGAGUUCUGUAGACUUGUUGGCAUGAGGAACUGCUUUACUUCCAGCCGAAGUUAUCAGUGAUACUUUGCCCGCGGUGUUCACGGAUAAAAAAGAAACUUCCGGACGAACACUGCACAUGUGCUGAAACCGGAUGCUUGCCAACGUGUCCGACAGUAUCAUAUUGUACAACCUCUCUGCUUCUAUAAUAAACAAAUCUAGAAGGAACAAAGCACGGGAUGCCUAAAGAAAAAUGCCUAGCACAAAUUAAUUUAAGAAUUACCGAACAGAAUCAUAAAACUGUGAACGAACAAAUAUCUGACAUCCGACCUGUGUGAUGUGAAAACGUGAUUUUUUUUUUUACUCUGAAAACAGAAUAUUCGUAAAAUAAAGCUUUAAAAUAUUCACAGCUGCUUAAUUAAAAAUAUUCCCGUGAAAUAUGUCAAUAUGAAUUUUGUCAUCGUUAAAUAUAUUUAGUCUGUGUUUCGUAACUGGUAUACAGAACCUUACACUUAAUGUCUUCUACCGAGGAUAAAAAUUAUAAGUUUUGCCAAAAAGUUAUAUUUGUGCUUCUAUGGGUGUGUGAUGUAUUCUGCAUUUAGACCAGGAUAAAAAAAAAACAGUAACAUAUAAACCUACAAAUUGCGAUGCAUUGUCGAUGGUUAUUAUGUUCAGAUACAUGGCCCAAAAAUGAACACUCUUGGAGAAAAAAAAGGUGGUUAGAUUAAAACAUAACUGCGUUAGAAAUUUAAAAAAAACGCCACUGCGAGGUACAUUUCGAGCAAAACUUACAUGAGGUUUGAAACUGGCAUACUUAGAGCGUUGAAGAAUUAGGUAUACUUAUGUGCGAGAUAAGAAGUAAAGUACUGUGUAAUUCUACGCAUAUACACAAAAUAUCCAAAUGUUCUUCGUGUAAAUUAACACACAUGAAAGAAAUAAAAUAUGUCUUAAAUCUGAGGCUUGUAACUUCUGUGUAAAAUGCGUCAGUUCCACUCACUUAUUUAUGGGAUAUAUUGCUGUUUAAUUUCACAGACUGACACAAAUUAAGCCACAUGCUGGUUGACGGUCU
This is a long non-coding RNA of Liolophura sinensis, 2766 nucleotides long. RefSeq lists it as uncharacterized. Lineage: Eukaryota; Metazoa; Mollusca; Polyplacophora; Chitonida; Chitonidae. The transcript has 3 exons. The record is from RefSeq and is a predicted model, not a curated record.